AAGAGACGUAUGAACUACAAGAACUGCUAAUUCUAACGACCAGAAAUAAAAUUUCUGGGUCUCUU
This 65-nucleotide transfer RNA is filed under the name Diplometopon zarudnyi. RNAcentral describes it as "tRNA-Ser". Lineage: Eukaryota; Metazoa; Chordata; Lepidosauria; Squamata; Trogonophidae. The record is from RNAcentral.